This 396-nucleotide ribosomal RNA is filed under the name uncultured bacterium. Its description in RNAcentral is "partial 16S ribosomal RNA". It matches the Rfam family "Bacterial small subunit ribosomal RNA", at positions 360 to 773 of the family's 1533-position model. The record is from RNAcentral.
AAUAUUGGACAAUGGGCGAAAGCCUGAUCCAGCCAUGCCGCGUGUGUGAAGAAGUAUUUCGGUAUGUAAAGCUCUAUCAGCAGGGAAGAAAAUGACGGUACCUGACUAAGAAGCCCCGGCUAACUACGUGCCAGCAGCCGCGGUAAUACGUAGGGGGCAAGCGUUAUCCGGAUUUACUGGGUGUAAAGGGAGCGUAGGUGGCAAAUCAAGUCAGAUGUGAAAGCCCGGGGCUCAACCCCGGGAUUGCAUUUGAAACUGGUAUGCUAGAGUGCAGGAGAGGUAAGUGGAAUUCCUAGUGUAGCGGUGAAAUGCGUAGAUAUUAGGAGGAACACCAGUGGCGAAGGCGGCUUACUGGACUGUAACUGACACUGAGGCUCGAAAGCGUGGGGAGCAAAC